This 444-nucleotide ribosomal RNA is filed under the name uncultured Microvirga sp. Its description in RNAcentral is "bacterial SSU rRNA". It matches the Rfam family "Bacterial small subunit ribosomal RNA", at positions 8 to 488 of the family's 1533-position model. Lineage: Bacteria; Pseudomonadati; Pseudomonadota; Alphaproteobacteria; Hyphomicrobiales; Methylobacteriaceae. The record is from RNAcentral.
AGAGUUUGAUCAUGGCUCAGAACGAACGCUGGCGGCAGGCCUAACACAUGCAAGUCGAACGAGAAGCCACCUUCGGGUGGUGGACAGUGGCAGACGGGUGAGUAACGCGUGGGAACGUGCCUUUCGGUUCGGGAUAACCCAGGGAAACUUGGGCUAAUACCGGAUACGCCCUUCGGGGGAAAGAUUCAUCGCCGAAAGAUCGGCCCGCGUCGGAUUAGCUAGUUGGUGGGGUAAAAGCCUACCAAGGCGACGAUCCGUAGCUGGUCUGAGAGGAUGAUCAGCCACACUGGGACUGAGACACGGCCCAGACUCCUACGGGAGGCAGCAGUGGGGAAUAUUGGACAAUGGGCGAAAGCCUGAUCCAGCCAUGCCGCGUGGGUGAAGAAGGCCUUAGGGUUGUAAACCCCUUUCAGCGGGGAAGAUAAUGACGGUACCCGCAGAAGA